This 74-nucleotide transfer RNA is filed under the name Mus pahari (shrew mouse). RNAcentral's name for it is "tRNA-Tyr (ATA) (tRNA-Tyr-ATA-1-1)". It matches the Rfam family "tRNA". Rfam says of the family: Transfer RNA (tRNA) molecules are approximately 80 nucleotides in length. Their secondary structure includes four short double-helical elements and three loops (D, anti-codon, and T loops). The record is from RNAcentral. Lineage: Eukaryota; Metazoa; Chordata; Mammalia; Rodentia; Muridae.
CCUUUGAUAGCUCAGCUGGUAGAGCAGAGGACCAUAGGAUCCUUAGGUCACUGGUUCAAUUCUGGCUCAAGGGA